GGUGUCUGAGGCUCGCUGCAAUCGCGUGUCGCCCUUUUCCGGUUGAUCCUGCCGGAGGUCACUGCUAUCGGUGUUCGAUUAAGCCAUGCGAGUCGAGAGGCGUUAUGGCCUCGGCGGACUGCUCAGUAACACGUGGAUAACCUACCCAAGAGUCCGGGAUAACCCCGGGAAACUGGGGAUAAUACCGGAUAGAUCACUUCGGCUGGAAGGCGUUGUGGUUGAAACUUCCGGGGCUUUUGGAUGGGUCUGCGGCUGAUUAGGUUGUUGCCGGUGUAAUGUACCGUCAAGCCUGUAAUCAGUACGGGUUGUGGGAGCAAGAGCCCGGAGAUGGAUUCUGAGACACGAAUCCAGGCCCUACGGGGCGCAGCAGGCGCGAAAACUCUACAAUGCAGGCAACUGCGAUAGGGGAACAUCGAGUGAUCCUCAUAUUGGGGGUCUGUCCACUCGCCUAAAAAGCGGGUGUUAGCAAGGGCCGGGCAAGACCGGUGCCAGCCGCCGCGGUAAUACCGGCGGCUCGAGUGGUGGCCGAUAUUAUUGAGUCUAAAGGGUCCGUAGCCGGCUUUGCAAGUCUCUCGGGAAAUCCAGCGGCUUAACCGUUGGUCGUCCGGGGGGUACUACAUUGCUUGGGACUGGGAGAGGUAGGAGGUACUCAGGGGGUAGGAGUGAAAUCCUGUAAUCCUUUGGGGACCACCGGUGGCGAAGGCGUCCUACCAGAACAGGUCCGACGGUGAGGGACGAAAGCUAGGGGCACGAACCGGAUUAGAUACCCGGGUAGUCCUAGCCGUAAACGAUGCUCGCUAGGUGUCACAACAGUCGUGAACUGUUGUGGUGCCGUAGGGAAGCCGUGAAGCGAGCCACUUGGGAAGUACGACCGCAAGGUUGAAACUUAAAGGAAUUGGCGGGGGAGCACCACAACGGGUGGAGCCUGCGGUUUAAUUGGACUCAACGCCGGGAAGCUUACCGGGAUCGACAGUUGUAUGAAGGCCAGGCUGAAGACCUUGCCGGACUAUCUGAGAGGAGGUGCAUGGCCGCCGUCAGUUCGUACCGUGAGGCGUCCUGUUAAGUCAGGCAACGAGCGAGACCCAUGCCCACUGUUGCUAACACGCCCCGUGAGGGGUGGUGAGUACACGGUGGGGACCGCUGGCGCUAAGUCAGAGGAAGGGGUGGUCGACGGUAGGUCAGUAUGCCCCGAAUAUCCCGGGCUACACGCGGGCUACAAUGGACAGGACAAUGGGCAACUACACCGAAAGGUGGCGUCAAUCUCUUAAACCUGUCCUUAGUUCGGAUUGAGGGCUGUAACUCGCCCUCAUGAAGAUGGAAUCCGUAGUAAUCGCAUUUCAAAACAGUGCGGUGAAUACGUCCCUGCUCCUUGCACACACCGCCCGUCAAACCACCCGAGUGGGGUUUGAAUGAGGGCCUCUUCUUUGAGAGGCUCGAAUUCAUGCUCUGUAAGGGGGGUUAAGUCGUAACAAGGUAACCAAGGGCGACACGCGAUUGCAGUCAU
RNAcentral lists this ribosomal RNA (1504 nucleotides) under uncultured archaeon. RNAcentral describes it as "bacterial SSU rRNA". It matches the Rfam family "Archaeal small subunit ribosomal RNA". The record is from RNAcentral.